AUUGAACGCUGGCGGCAGGCCUAACACAUGCAAGUCGAACGAGUGGCGGACGGGUGAGUAAUGUCUGGGAAACUGUCUGAUGGAGGGGGAUAAAUACUGGAAACGGUAGCUAAUACAGCAUACCAUCAGGUGUGCCCUGAGGGGAUUAGCUUGUGGGGGUUGUACCGGCUCAGCAAGGCGACGAUGCCUAGCUGGUCUGAGAGGAUGACCAGGAACACUGGUGCGGGGACAAGGUGCAGACUCGUACGUGAGGCAGCAGUGGGGAAUAUUGGACAAUGGGCGCAAGCGUGAUGCAGCCAUGCGGAGUGUAUGAAGAAGGCCUUCGGGGCGUAAAGUACUUCAAGCGGGGAGGCGUUACCUGACGAAGAAGCACCGGCUAACUCCGUGCCAGCAGCCGCGGUAAUAC
Molecule: ribosomal RNA, 406 nt
Filed under: uncultured bacterium
Lineage: Bacteria
Description: partial 16S ribosomal RNA
Rfam family: Bacterial small subunit ribosomal RNA
Source: RNAcentral